Molecule: long non-coding RNA, 2512 nt
Organism: Taeniopygia guttata (zebra finch)
Lineage: Eukaryota; Metazoa; Chordata; Aves; Passeriformes; Estrildidae
Source: RefSeq, a predicted model, not a curated record
UCAGGGCUCGUCUGAGGGAUGUCGUCCCGGGACAUUUCACUCUCUCUGGUGUUAGCCGGGAUGAGAGAAAGCAAACUCUCCGGCUCUGCAGUUUGUGGGGAAUUCAGGGCAUUCCUGCCUUUAUUUCCCGGCCGGGCAGUGCCGGCCAGCCCUGUGCUCCUCCUCAGGGGUUUGUGGCGGUAGUUCCGGACGGGGCCUCUUGUCUAAUUUCCAGCUUCUACUUUCCAUCUGAAUCAAUAGAUGUUUCUGGGUUUUUGUUUACUUCCCCUUUCCACGUAUUUACGUAUCCAAUUCCCACUCAUUUGUUGUGUUAGAUUACAUAGGCCAAACCUUUGGAGCCCUGCAUGAUCCUACAAGCACUUCCCUGCUCAUUGGGAUGUAUGUUCUGCGGCACUUUCUCGAUUUAAAUGCUUUUUAAAUGCUUUUUCUCCUGAAAGGGGCUGCGGCAUGGAGUGUCAGACGGCGAUGCCUCAAACACAACACUAAAGUUUUCCCGAAGUUAGUGGAAAUUCCAUGACUGGACUCACACUGGUCUGUUUCAGUCACACCACGCUGUCAAUUUCCUGUCACCUGCGGUUGGUUAGUAAAGCCAAAUCCUUCUCCCAUUCACUUAUUUUUUGCUCGGACUCUCAACAAAAGGCAAAACCAAUUUUUUAGAAGUUUAUUUCCUGAAUGCCUGAAGUUUCAAUUUUAUACUAUACUAUUUUGUGGGUCAUCCUACAAAACUGGAUUUUAGUAAAUCCAUGUUACCUUUUAUCCCCGUAUUAUUCACUGACUAAGAUGUUUUUAGUUAGAUUCUCCUGUGCAAGUUUUUCUGAAGAGCUGCACAGACAUCAAAACCACAGGUCCAAAUUGCUUCCACCAUGACUUACUUCUUAGAACUUGCUGCUCUCUGUCCUGUGGUAAUGCCUUCAAGUAGGCAAAUUUACUUAAAAUCUCUUGGAUUUGUGCACAUCAGGAUUCUGGAAUUAAGAAUGCUUGGUUCCUCCAACUGGAAAACAGCAGACUCAACAUCCUGUCUUUACCUCAUGGAUUAUCAUAUUCAUCCUUACUGAAAAUCAGCAGUAGAUGCUCACAGGAGGAAAGCAGUCAUCUGGCAUGAUUGACAUUGAUUUUCUGCCUCAGAGAGCUUGAAUGGGAGAAGGCUCAGAGCUGCACAAACAGAACGGGGAGUUAGAAGCAGAGCCUUUCCACUGGCCUCAGGUGGCAUUUGAUCAGGAUCUGAGUGAUAACAGAUGGAAACAAAUGCCACAUUCUUAUUAUACAAUGUGUUUGCCUUCAAACUACGAGAUAUCAUUAGACUAUUGUCACAAAAAUAAAGUCCAGAGACAGUUAUAAAGGUCCUGGCUUGUGACAGACUGAGCCAAAUCUGAUGGUGCUGCAGGGGUGAACAGGGACACCAAACCAUGACCUGCAGGUUUGCUGAGUGACCUACAGCUCAGCUGGGAGGUUAUCAGUAACCUAAAGUUACUGAUAGUCAUGACCAGCCCUGGAAAGUUGUCUGGUUUGAUUGCAAACUACUUUCUAGCUGACAUCUUUCAAUACCCAGAACCUCCAAGUUGCUCCAGUUCUUCUUUUCCCCUUAAGAGAAUUCCAAGUUACAUUGCUGGAAAGUUGGCAUCCUAUGGGGAAGAAUUUGCUGGGCUAUACCAACCACUGCAGAAAGCUGAGAGCACUUCUCAACAUUACAGACACACAGACUUGGUGGAGGAACCUAUAUAAUAAAUGAUAAUCUCUUCCUUGGAGGAGGAAGAUGAAGUUUAACUUGCAGUUCAACAGAGACAGCAGUAGAAUGGAGAUAAGCAACCAGACCUCAACUCUUCUGUUCUUCUCAGAGGGGAAAAAUAACUUCACUGUUUCUGCACAAGGCAAGGUGAGGAGCUGUGCCCAAGGGAGUGGCAAGCCAUGGAGAAAGGCUGUUCCAUCCCUGCAGCACCCAGGAUCCUUGUCCAAGACUGAGGUCCCUAAAGAAACAUUCCACUGCCUGCUGCAAAACAGCACAAACCAGUUUGGGAGCUUUGCCUGGGGGGUGAGGGAGGCAGAAGGACCAUGAUAGUGCAAUUUCCUGAGCUCUGCAGCACUGCAGGGCAAAAGGAAACAUUCUGGUUUUGGUGACAUAAUGUCAUGGUACAGAGACGACUCCCCUGUCCUGUGCCACACUGUUGUGAAGCAUUUUGCAGUUAUUUGCUUCAUGUGGGUUUUGCAGAACAGGGUGGUUGGUGCUUACCAGAUUGAUACCUGCUGCCUGCCUCUGGCCCAGCAAUCUUUGUCCUGCCAAGUCACACCUGGUUGAUGCCAGCCUUGCUCGGUGUCCUUCCUGCCACUGUUUCCCUUCCUGAUCAGCUCAUGACAGGAGCGGAGGGGACCCGUGCCCAGGCUCGGGGAUUGUCACCUGGGGACCGCAUGGCUUUACAGCUCAGCAUUUAUUUCCUUAACAUGCUAUCCCCUGACAGUCCCAGGGGAGCCCUAAAAACUGACAUCAGAGACUUGGACUGGUGAGUUUUCUUUCCCA